UCGAGAAUCUUUCACAAUGGGGGCAACCCUGAUGGAGCGACGCCGCGUGGAGGAUAAGGUCUUCGGAUUGUAAACUCCUGUCAUGCGCGAACAAGGCUACUUGGAUAAUACCUGGGUAGAUUGAUGGUAGCGCAAGAGGAAGAGACGGCUAACUCUGUGCCAGCAGCCGCGGUAAUACAGAGGUCUCAAGCGUUGUUCGGAAUCACUGGGCGUAAAGGGUGCGUAGGUGGCAUGGUAAGUCAGAUGUGAA
This 250-nucleotide ribosomal RNA is filed under the name uncultured bacterium. Its description in RNAcentral is "partial 16S ribosomal RNA". It matches the Rfam family "Bacterial small subunit ribosomal RNA", at positions 355 to 598 of the family's 1533-position model. The record is from RNAcentral.